Small nuclear RNA from Artibeus jamaicensis (Jamaican fruit-eating bat), 105 nucleotides. NCBI's taxonomy places the organism in Eukaryota, Metazoa, Chordata, Mammalia, Chiroptera, Phyllostomidae. The record is from RefSeq and is a predicted model, not a curated record.
GCUCACUUGGGCAAGGCAUAUAUUAAAAGUGGAACAAUAUAGAGAAGAUUAGCAUGGCCCCUGCACAAGGAUGACAUGCAAAUUUGUGAAGUGUUCCAUAUUUUU